GAUGAACGCUGGCGGCGUGCCCAACACAUGCAAGUCGAGCGAUUCUCUUCGGAGAAGAGCGGCGGACGGGUGAGUAACGCGUGGGUAACCUGCCCUGUACACACGGAUAACAUACCGAAAGGUAUGCUAAUACGAGAUAAUAUACUUUUAUCGCAUGGUAGAAGUAUCAAAGCUUUUGCGGUACAGGAUGGAACCGCGUCUGAUUAGCUAGUUGGUAAGGUAACGGCUUACCAAGGCGACGAUCAGUAGCCGACCUGAGAGGGUGAUCGGCCACAUUGGAACUGAGACACGGUCCAAACUCCUACGGGAGGCAGCAGUGGGGAAUAUUGCACAAUGGGCGAAAGCCUGAUGCAGCAGCGCCGCGUGAGCGAUGAAGGCCUUCGGGUCGUAAAGCUCUGUCCUCAAGGAAGAUAAUGACGGUACUUGAGGAGGAAGCCCCGGCUAACUACGUGCCAGCCGCCGCGGUAA
This 468-nucleotide ribosomal RNA is filed under the name uncultured bacterium. RNAcentral's name for it is "partial 16S ribosomal RNA". It matches the Rfam family "Bacterial small subunit ribosomal RNA", at positions 28 to 523 of the family's 1533-position model. The record is from RNAcentral.